UAGUCUACGCCGUAAACGAUGGUCACUAGCUGUUCGGAACUUGUUUCUGAGUGGCUAAGCGAAAGUGAUAAGUGACCCACCUGGGGAGUACGUUCGCAAGAAUGAAACUCAAAGGAAUUGACGGGGGCCCGCACAAGCGGUGGAGCAUGUGGUUUAAUUCGAUGAUACGCGAGGAACCUUACCAGGGCUUAAAUGUAGAUUGACAGGUUUAGAGAUAGACUUUCCUUCGGGCAAUUUACAAGGUGCUGCAUGGUUGUCGUCAGCUCGUGCCGUGAGGUGUCAGGUUAAGUCCUAUAACGAGCGCAACCCCUGUUGUUAGUUGCCAGCGAGUCAAGUCGGGAACUCUAACAAGACUGCCAGUGCAAACUGUGAGGAAGGUGGGGAUGACGUCAAAUCAUCACGGGCCCUUACGUCCUGGGGCUACACACGUGCUACAAUGGCGAGUACAGAGGGGCUGCAAACCAGCAAUGGGCCAGGCCAAUCCCUU
This 487-nucleotide ribosomal RNA is filed under the name uncultured bacterium. Its description in RNAcentral is "bacterial SSU rRNA". It matches the Rfam family "Bacterial small subunit ribosomal RNA", at positions 791 to 1277 of the family's 1533-position model. The record is from RNAcentral.